RNAcentral lists this unclassified non-coding RNA (196 nucleotides) under uncultured fungus. Its description in RNAcentral is "sequence contains ITS1, 5.8S rRNA gene". Lineage: Eukaryota; Fungi. The record is from RNAcentral.
UUAACUUAUUUGUAUAUUACUCGGACAACACAAAAAUCAAGAGUUUGGGGUCCUCUGGCAGGCGCGGACCAGCCUAAGCCGGUGGUCAACAGACGGGCCUGCCAAAGCAACAUAGGUAAUGUAAACAAAGGGUGGGAGAUCUACCCCAAAGGGCAAUUUCUCUGUAAUGAUCCUUCCGCAGGUUCACCUACGGAAA